This 373-nucleotide ribosomal RNA is filed under the name uncultured organism. RNAcentral's name for it is "bacterial SSU rRNA". It matches the Rfam family "Bacterial small subunit ribosomal RNA", at positions 526 to 897 of the family's 1533-position model. The record is from RNAcentral.
CGUAGGGUGCGAGCGUUAAUCGGAAUUACUGGGCGUAAAGCGUGCGCAGGCGGUUUUGUAAGACAGAUGUGAAAUCCCCGGGCUCAACCUGGGACCUGCAUUUGUGACUGCAAGGCUAGAGUACGGUAGAGGGGGAUGGAAUUCCGCGUGUAGCAGUGAAAUGCGUAGAUAUGCGGAGGAACACCGAUGGCGAAGGCAAUCCCCUGGACCUGUACUGACGCUCAUGCACGAAAGCGUGGGGAGCAAACAGGAUUAGAUACCCUGGUAGUCCACGCCCUAAAACGAUGUCAACUGGUUGUUGGGUCUUUACUGACUCAGUAACGAAGCUAACGCGUGAAGUUGACCGCCUGGGGAGUACGGCCGCAAAGGUUGA